AUGGCCAAAGCCAGCAAGAAGCUGAACAUUAAUAAGCCGACCGAAGAUCCCAAGGUUGCUGACCCGGAGAAGCAGACAAUGUCUAAGUCUCUGUAUCAAACUUCUGAAGCAGCCAUGGAUGAUCUGCCGCCAGAGGAGCACCAUGUGACCAUGGACUCCAUGAAUGUUGAUCUGGAGAAUGCUAAGCCGCCCAGUCCUGCUCAGCCGGCUCAAGAAACCGAAGAUGUAAUAGUUACUGGGACAGCUUACACAGCGCCAGGUAACCCCACCGUCUUGUCCAAGCACAACGCCAAAGAGGAAUUCUCAGCUGUUGACAAAGGCAAGUGGAAACUGGAUCUGGAGAGCUAUGCUCAAUUCAAUGCCCAUGAGCUUCACGCAGGUUACUUGAACCGCCUUCACACCAGCCAUGACUUUGAAGCCGGCUUGGUUAAUCUCAUGAAGGAUCGUUUUGAGGAUGAAAUAAAUAUGAAGGAAUCCCAAAUCAAUGAUCUGAGGCAAAACAUUCAAACCCAGCAAUCUGAGACUUCUAAGGCCGAAUCAGAGCUGAAGACCGCUUUGGAAGAUAUUGAAAAGCUGAAAAAGGACUUCAGUGCUGAGAGAACCGGCUGGGAGUCCGAGAAGACAGCUUUAUUAAAGAGAGCAGAAGAUGUAGAGGCUGCUCUUAAACCGAUGACUGACAAAUUAUCCAUCUUAUGGCAGCAAAUCCACAACAUGACAGCUGCCAUCUUCGGCUCCAGAAGCUCCAAGCUGGGUCAAGACAUGCGCAUAAGGCUUAAAGUUGUGUAUACCCUUGUGGAGCAGUUGUACACUGGUGCUCAACGGGCUAUUUCUACUGCCUCCCAUAAGAAGCAGCCACCUUCCCUCAUCAAGGAAGUGUUGGAGAAACUAUCUGUGCUGCCCCAAAGGUUUGAAGAAUUAAAGAUAUCAGCCGCUAGAGCCGGUGAUAUUACCGCACUGAGCCGGGCAAAGGCAUGGCAAGUAGAACUUGACCCGGAAGAGCUGGCCACUGGCUACCCAAGUUUAAAGGAAGACGGGUCUCCCUUCAGCACCGAUGACUUCACCAAAAUAGUAAGAGAGAUGCAUCCUUUAGCAAGCAAAUUGGCUGAGGAAACUGAUCUCUCCAAGUAUCAUCUGGUUUAUGAUGCUGAAAACGUAAAAGUGAAAGCACCAGUUCAUGAGGCCAUGGACCUUAUCCCGCCAACACAUAAGCACACCUUCACUCCUGACACUGACCCGUCAACCCUUAUAGAAAAUGAAGAUGUUUUCAAAGCUUUGACUGGGAUCAAUUCGGCCACAUUUGACUUCCAGCCAACGGGUGAAGAAGAAGAAGAGCCGGUGCAAGAUAACCCGGAAUCUUCAACAUGCCAAGGUCAAGACAACUGA
Molecule: ribosomal RNA, 1383 nt
Filed under: Triticum aestivum (bread wheat)
Lineage: Eukaryota; Viridiplantae; Streptophyta; Magnoliopsida; Poales; Poaceae
Description: partial small subunit ribosomal RNA
Source: RNAcentral